GUGUGUGUGUGUGUGUGUGUGUGUGUGUGUGUGUAUGUGUGUGUGUAUGAAAUUCCUUCUGCAAUUAUUUCUGACACAAGGUUUGGAAACAUGGGGUCCCUGAGUGUAAAGGAAGCAAGCGCUGCCGAGAACCCACCGGUCAGGACAAGCAAAUCUCCUGGACCGUCGAAGGUUCUGGACAUAAACAAUUCAACGCUGAUGUUUGUUGGAGGGCUCGGAGGUCAGAUCAAGGUAAAGUUCUUGGGCAUCCUGUUCAGAAGGCCAUCUGAACAGGACCCCUGGCUGAUAUGUGCUCAGUGUUAAAUAUACCCUGCACAAAAUCCAAAAAUUCUUGCUUUUAUUAGUUUUCAUUUCAGCAGGGGAUCAGCUGUUUUUGCAAGGGUAAACGGUCAUUUUUAAUUACGAAGAUGAAGACAAGAGUAAUCAAUGGUGCUGUUUGCCACUUAGACAAUCAUUUCUUCCAGUGAUGAAGUAGGAAAUUAAAUACAUCUAUAGUCAUUUCUGUAAAGUCCCUUUAUCUCUCUUCCAAUUCUAGUGGUAAUUGUGCUAAUUAGUGUAUAGCAAGAGGGCAUAGUAUUUGCAUAAUGACAUCACCUAGUUGAACUGGGUUGGGAGGACAGCCUGCGUCCCUCUAGUCUACUGACCCCUUGUCUGGGCUGGCGACUCACUCACAGCAAACUUUCCCCAGAAACGGAGUGGAUCCUUAGGGGACUGUCCAGAGAUGGCUGUGGUCAUUCACACCUUUAAUCCCAGCAUCCACGAGCCUGAAGCAAGCGAACCGGGAGUGUGAGGCUAACUUGGGCUGUAUCCAUAAACAAGCCUCUUUCUCAAUCCCCUUCCCCCUCAAGGAACAGAAACAAUGUAAAAUGUUCAGGCUUAGAAGUAAUUGUUGCAAACUGGCCAUUUCAUUGAAUGUUCUCUUGGAGUCCGAAGCACUGGAUUUGAGCUCCCAGGGCAGUUUAGAGAAUAUAUGCCUGCCUUCAGGCCUAUGGGUGCGCAGUAUGAGUUUGUUUGUUUGUUUGUUUUUUUGUCUUUGUACCAGAAAUCCCCGGCUGUGAAGGUUACUCAUUUUAAGGGCUGCAUGGGAGAGGCCUUCUUGAAUGGCAAAUCGAUUGGCCUGUGGAAUUACAUCGAGAGAGAGGGGAAGUGCAAUGGCUGCUUUGGAAGGUAGCCCGCCCCACGUUUCUACUUUCUCUUAGCUCUAUACUCCCUAUUCUCAUAAAAGACUAUGAAUGGACUCUUGGUUACCGAAGCCUUUGGGCUAACACUGGGUUUGGAGUCCAACUUUCCCAGUCAUCUAGCAAGGCUUCCUUGGUGACUUUGGCUAAUUUUCCCCUUUCCCUGAAGUUUGGGUGUCUCCCAGACUUCUCGUACUCACCCCGCCCUUACUCCUCAGGGUCAGUAUGCAGUGUGCAUGUGCAAAACAUUAUAAAUCUGAGUGAAACUCUGCUCCAGUGGUCAUCACUGGUCUUCCAAUGAGUCCACGUGAGCAUCCGAUGAGUCCACGUGAGCAUCCGAGGGUUGUUUCCCUGACCCUUGUUGCAGGGAGACGCAGGGCUUGCAGUUGGCAAGAACAGCUUUUAUAUGCACAGUUAGUACGUACAGCUUCUGAACUCUGAGACAUCCCCUUUUGCUCACACCGCAUGUCUAACCAAAAAUAUUCCCAGAAACUUAGUAAAUCUGAUAUGAAAAUAGACCCAACCUCUGGGCUCUGCUCCUCCACUUAACCAAGUUAAAUGGCGGAUGCUGGUUCUCCUUCACUGUGGUAAGGUCGGCCUUUUUGUGUACAUCCCCGGUUUCAUUCCCAGAGACACCUGCCAUCCUACCAGAUUUCCAACCCUUGCCUUUGAAGCAAAGGCUGAGGAAGAAGGGUUGGGAUGCCCCUGAGCUCUGUGUUCACUGAGGGCCUAGUCAUCCCGUGUUCAUUGAGAGUCUAGGCAUCUUGAGUUCACUGAGAGUCUAGGCAUCCUGCUGCUGAGCUGAAAUCCCAGCUGGCUAUAGGAGCAGGUGGAAUGAUUGGUUUAGACAACCUAGGGUUUAAUAAGUAUGUUUCACUGGACACCGAAUGAAGAAAUCUCCCAGCCAUUCUUAUACUUAUGUUGACCAAUAUAUUGACCAAGUUUCAAAUAACCCUAGCUUGGUAGGUUAUUAAUACGUGUUCU
Molecule: long non-coding RNA, 2162 nt
Filed under: Mus musculus (house mouse)
Lineage: Eukaryota; Metazoa; Chordata; Mammalia; Rodentia; Muridae
Description: long non-coding RNA chr17:67804319-67806481
Source: RNAcentral